UGACGCCGGUGGGAUUUGAACCCACGCCCCGCAGGAAUGGAGAGCUUCGAAGUCCCGAGAAACGGGCGAGAGACGCAUCUCGUUCCGCUCGCUCACUCGACUUCUCCUAAAUCCAUCGCCUUAGACCACUCGGCCACAGCGUC
Molecule: transfer RNA, 143 nt
Filed under: Chloropicon primus
Lineage: Eukaryota; Viridiplantae; Chlorophyta; Chloropicophyceae; Chloropicales; Chloropicaceae
Description: tRNA-Leu
Source: RNAcentral